UGGGGAAUAUUGGGCAAUGGGCGCAAGCCUGACCCAGCAACGCCGCGUGAGGGAAGAAUGUCUUCGGAUUGUAAACCUCUGUCCUUGGGGACGAAAAAAAUGACGGUACCCGAGGAGGAAGCUCCGGCUAACUACGUGCCAGCAGCCGCGGUAAUACGUAGGGAGCGAGCGUUGUCCGGAAUUACUGGGCGUAAAGGGUGCGUAGGUGGCAAGGCAAGUCAGGUGGGAAAUCCCCGGGCUUAACUCGGGGGGUGCAUUUGAAACUGCUUUGCUUGAGUGCAGGAGAGGAAAGCGGAAUUCCUAGUGUAGCGGUGAAAUGCGUAGAUAUUAGGAGGAACACCAGUGGCGAAGGCGGCUUUCUGGACUGUAACUGACACUGAGGCACGAAAGCGUGGGGAGCAAACA
This 405-nucleotide ribosomal RNA is filed under the name uncultured prokaryote. Its description in RNAcentral is "bacterial SSU rRNA". It matches the Rfam family "Bacterial small subunit ribosomal RNA", at positions 355 to 774 of the family's 1533-position model. The record is from RNAcentral.